Molecule: ribosomal RNA, 253 nt
Filed under: uncultured bacterium
Lineage: Bacteria
Description: partial 16S ribosomal RNA
Rfam family: Bacterial small subunit ribosomal RNA
Source: RNAcentral
UACGGGGGGGGCAAGCGCUGUUCGGAAUUACUGGGCGUAAAGGGCUUGUAGGUGGCCGACUAAGUCAGACGUGAAAUCCCUCGGCUUAACCGGGGAACUGCGUCUGAUACUGGAUGGCUGGAGUGUGGGAGAGGGAUGCGGAAUUCCAGGUGUAGCGGUGAAAUGCGUAGAUAUCUGGAGGAACACCGGUGGCGAAGGCGGCAUCCUGGACCAUUACUGACACUGAAAAGCGAAAGCCAGGGGAGCAAACGGG